GUCUACGGCCAAGCUACCCUGACCAAGCUCAAUUCCGUCUGAUCUCGGAAGCUAAGCACAGUCGGGCCCAGUUAGUACUUGGAUUGGAGACCACCUAGGAAGACCUGGUGCUAUAGGGG
This 119-nucleotide ribosomal RNA is filed under the name Pteropus alecto (black flying fox). The record is from RNAcentral. Lineage: Eukaryota; Metazoa; Chordata; Mammalia; Chiroptera; Pteropodidae.